ACACUGUCACAGUCCUUGCGCACGAUGACACCUGUGACUCUGCUGAAAGUCCUUCCAUCACAGUGAGAACAGUUUCCUGCAUCCCACAGAACCUCGAUGUCCAUGUAGACUGUGACACAAACGAUGCUUCAGUACUGUGGAGCCACACUAAAGGUGCAGUCUCUUACUCGGCAACAGCAGAAGGAAGUGAUGGGCACCCAGUUUCUUGCGAGACAGCCAAUGAAGAAUGUCAGAUAACCAACCUACACUGUGGACAGGUGUAUAAUUUAACUGUGACAGCGCUGGAUGGUGUGUGUGACACCUCACAAAGCUCUCUGUUUGCAUUCAGCACUGCCCCAUGUGCACCUGAUAACAUUUCCACCAGUCUGAACUGUGACACCAGGAG
Long non-coding RNA from Mobula hypostoma (lesser devil ray), 385 nucleotides. RefSeq lists it as uncharacterized. Lineage: Eukaryota; Metazoa; Chordata; Chondrichthyes; Myliobatiformes; Myliobatidae. The transcript has 3 exons. The record is from RefSeq and is a predicted model, not a curated record.